UGAACGUAUAAACAUACGUUAGGAAAGUCCGGGCAUCACAGAGCAGGAUAGCUGUUAACGGCAGCCGAGGGCGACCUUAGGGCAAGUGCAACAGAGAUAUACCGCCGGAGUUUCUCCGGUAAGGGUGGAAAGGCGAGGUAAGAGCUCACCAAGGUAAAAGUAAUUUUACCUUUAUGUAAACCCUAUCCGAUGCAACGUCUUUUUGGAACAAUGCGUUAUUGUCUGCUCGGCAGGCGCAUUGCAAUGACGGCUUGAGCGGUUCGGCGACGAUCCGCCCAGAUAGAUUUCCGCACACGACAAAACCCGGCUUAUCGGCUUAGUCG
RNAcentral lists this RNase P RNA (323 nucleotides) under pig gut metagenome. Its description in RNAcentral is "Bacterial RNase P class A". It matches the Rfam family "Bacterial RNase P class A". From Rfam's summary of the family: Ribonuclease P (RNase P) is a ubiquitous endoribonuclease, found in archaea, bacteria and eukarya as well as chloroplasts and mitochondria. Its best characterised activity is the generation of mature 5'-ends of tRNAs by cleaving the 5'-leader elements of precursor-tRNAs. The record is from RNAcentral.